This 119-nucleotide ribosomal RNA is filed under the name Pteropus alecto (black flying fox). Lineage: Eukaryota; Metazoa; Chordata; Mammalia; Chiroptera; Pteropodidae. RNAcentral also lists the same sequence under 1 other name. The record is from RNAcentral.
GUCUACGGCCAUGCCACCCUGAACAUGCCCGAUCUUAUCUGAUCUUGGAAGCUAAGCAGGGUCGGGCCUGGUUAGUACUUGGUUGGGAAACCACCUUAGAAUACCAGGUGUUGUAGGCA